GAUUGCUUUGGGGAAAUACACUUCUCCCCUCAAACCUCCCGCACACUUUAUUUCUUCUUUUUUCUUAUUUUUCUCUUUUUCUUUCCUCUUUCUUUCUUUCUUCUUCUUUCUUUUGUUUUCCUUCUUCUUCCUAUUUCUCGGUUUCGCCCAACCAAAGAGAUGAAAAGAGAGAGUGAGAGGUUGAGAUGAGAGGAGAGACCCGAGUAGGACCUGAUACUUCUAGAGGUCCGGUCGGCAGCGGGUCAAUGGUGGUUGACGCCGGCGAAGUUGAAAGUUUGAAUUCCGGUGGUUUGGAGAUGCGAAAUUCGGCGAAACUUCCGGUGGUUCUCGGGCUCUGUUUUAUUAGGAUAGUGUUUGGAUUGAAGACUUCAAUUGGUUUUCCAAUGUAGAGUUCGAGUCAAGAGUCCAAUGCAGCUAAGAUGAUGUUCCUUUGGCUGCAGGGACUUCGGUAUAGUUGAUGGGUUGGUAGCAGUGUACUUGGGAUAUUAUGACUGAAGCUUGCUGCGACGGUUGUAAUUGUCGGACCAUAGGUUGUCCACUAUUUUAUAGGUUUGGUAUGGCUUGUGACGCUUGUGUCACUUAUUCUUUGUUAUUCAAUUAUUGUUAUGAAAUUAUUGUGUUAAUAAGACUCAAACAAAUAGAUGUUAAAUGACUCUUUAUUGUAAUUAAUUUGUGAUAGAUGUAUAAGUUGUAAUUUCUGCUAUUUAGGUUUAUAUUUUCCGCUGCAUAGUUAAAUAGAUGUUACUCUGAUUAUCAGGUGCAUGUUAUGGGGCAUGUG
Molecule: long non-coding RNA, 778 nt
Organism: Alnus glutinosa
Lineage: Eukaryota; Viridiplantae; Streptophyta; Magnoliopsida; Fagales; Betulaceae
Exons: 3
Source: RefSeq, a predicted model, not a curated record